This 253-nucleotide ribosomal RNA is filed under the name uncultured bacterium. Its description in RNAcentral is "partial 16S ribosomal RNA". It matches the Rfam family "Bacterial small subunit ribosomal RNA", at positions 524 to 776 of the family's 1533-position model. The record is from RNAcentral.
UACGUAGGGUGCAAGCGUUGUCCGGAAUUAUUGGGCGUAAAGAGUUCGUAGGCGGUUUGUCGCGUCCGUUGUGAAAGCUUGGGGCUCAACCCCAAGUCUGCAGUGGGUACGGGCAGACUAGAGUCAGGUAGGGGAGAACGGAAUUCCUGGUGUAGCGGUGAAAUGCGCAGAUAUCAGGAGGAACACCGGUGGCGAAGGCGGUUCUCUGGGCCUGUACUGACGCUGAGGAACGAAAGCGUGGGGAGCGAACAGG